AGCAAUUCAUUUAAUUUUGAACUAUAACAAAAACAAUAUUCUUUGUGUUGUGUGUGUUUUUGUGGUUUGGAAUGUAUGAUUCACGCACUAUGGAACUGCUGUGCGUGCUGACGACGGUGCAACAAAAAGACCUAAGGAAGGAAGGCGGAACUCCCUAUACCUGAUGGAAGAUGCUGAAUGUGGAGAAGGAGGAUUUUUAAAGGCCCUUACUGCGCACGUCUAUCUACGCAGAUGGCGCACUGCAGUGACGCAAUCAGAACAUAGCGGCAAACAAGAAUAAAAAAUAAUGUAAUUUUAUGUAUUUAAGCUGAUAAAGA
Molecule: long non-coding RNA, 317 nt
Organism: Vanessa atalanta (red admiral)
Lineage: Eukaryota; Metazoa; Arthropoda; Insecta; Lepidoptera; Nymphalidae
Exons: 3
Source: RefSeq, a predicted model, not a curated record